AUCACAUUUGAAUAGAAGUUUAUAAAAGGAGUCCUUACACAUUUUAAGGAAUCUUGGUGUCUUUUUUUCCCCAACUGUUCUGCAUGACGGUGGAAUGGUUUCAUUUUGGACUUAUGGUGCAAAGUUGGUAUGCAGGCAUGUUAAGUGCAGGGGAAAAAAAGCACCGCACCCACCCAGGAACAUACAACUAAAUCCUGCAUGUGAUCUGGAGGGAGAGAGAAAUCUCGUAGAAUCUUAUCAAAAACUACUCUACGGUCCCAUAGGAAAAAGAAUAAAACGAGAAGAAAGAAGAAGAAGAUUGACUCACCAGACAUUAUUGGCGUGAAGAGGAGCAGGACCCAGUGAAACACCCCAAGCGCCUGUUCUUGGCUCUAUUAUAUGGGCAAGAACGA
Long non-coding RNA from Hemibagrus wyckioides, 392 nucleotides. RefSeq lists it as uncharacterized. Lineage: Eukaryota; Metazoa; Chordata; Actinopteri; Siluriformes; Bagridae. The record is from RefSeq and is a predicted model, not a curated record. The transcript is spliced from 3 exons.